This 77-nucleotide transfer RNA is filed under the name Herpetosiphon aurantiacus. RNAcentral's name for it is "tRNA-Pro". It matches the Rfam family "tRNA". Rfam says of the family: Transfer RNA (tRNA) molecules are approximately 80 nucleotides in length. Their secondary structure includes four short double-helical elements and three loops (D, anti-codon, and T loops). RNAcentral also lists the same sequence under 6 other names. Lineage: Bacteria; Bacillati; Chloroflexota; Chloroflexia; Herpetosiphonales; Herpetosiphonaceae. The record is from RNAcentral.
CGGGGCGUGGCUCAGCCCGGUAGAGCGCAGCGUUCGGGACGCUGAGGUCGGAGGUUCGAAUCCUCUCGCCCCGACCA